Molecule: ribosomal RNA, 253 nt
Filed under: uncultured prokaryote
Description: partial 16S ribosomal RNA
Rfam family: Bacterial small subunit ribosomal RNA
Source: RNAcentral
GACAGAGGUGGCGACCGUUGUUCGGAAUCACUGGGCAUAAAGCGCGUGUAGGCGGCAUUGUAAGUCGGGUGUGAAAUCCCUCGGCCUAACCGAGGAAUUGCGCCCGAAACUACUUUGCUUGAGGAUGAGAGGGGAGCCUGGAAUUCCUGGUGGAGCGGUGAAAUGCGUUGAUAUCAGGAGGAACACCGGCGGCGAAGGCGAGGCUCUGGCUCAUUACUGACGCUGAGACGCGAAAGCUAGGGGAGCAAACGGG